AUACGAAAGGUGCAAGCGUUGUUCGGAUUUACUGGGCGUAAAGAGAGUGUAGGUGGUUUAUCAAGUCGGAUGUGAAAUCCCGGGGCUCAACCUCGGAACUGCAUUCGAUACUGAUAGGCUAGAGUUUGGGAGGGGUAAGCGGAAUUCCGUGUGUAGCAGUGAAAUGCGUAGAUAUACGGGGGAACACCUGAGGCGAAGGCGGCUUACUGGACCAAUACUGACACUGAGACUCGAAAGCGUGGGUAGCAAACAGGAUUAGAAACCCUAGUAGUCC
This 274-nucleotide ribosomal RNA is filed under the name uncultured bacterium. RNAcentral describes it as "partial 16S ribosomal RNA". It matches the Rfam family "Bacterial small subunit ribosomal RNA", at positions 523 to 796 of the family's 1533-position model. The record is from RNAcentral.